UACGUAGGGACCAAGCGUUGUUCGGAUUUACUGGGCGUAAAGGGCGCGUAGGCGGCAUGACAAGUCACUUGUGAAAUCUCCGGGCUUAACUCGGAACGGUCAAGUGAUACUGUCGCGCUAGAGUGCGGAAGGGGCAAUCAGAAUUCUUGGUGUAGCGGUGAAAUGCGUAGAUAUCAGGAGGAACACCGGUGGCGAAGGCGGGUCUCUGGGCCGAUACUGACGCUGAGGAGCGAAAGCGUGGGGAGCGAACAGG
This 253-nucleotide ribosomal RNA is filed under the name uncultured bacterium. RNAcentral describes it as "partial 16S ribosomal RNA". It matches the Rfam family "Bacterial small subunit ribosomal RNA", at positions 524 to 776 of the family's 1533-position model. The record is from RNAcentral.